Long non-coding RNA from Solanum stenotomum, 250 nucleotides. RefSeq lists it as uncharacterized. NCBI's taxonomy places the organism in Eukaryota, Viridiplantae, Streptophyta, Magnoliopsida, Solanales, Solanaceae. The record is from RefSeq and is a predicted model, not a curated record. The transcript is spliced from 3 exons.
CUCUAGGUGAUCAACACUCGAGGUCCUAUGUGUUGUGUAUCGUAGGCAAUCAACUUUUAGAACCAGAAACUCAAUUGGAUGAAUUAUCCUAAUUGAUUAUGUAGAUUCAAUUGAACAAGUUCAACUUUUUCACAACUGAUUUAAGUACUUUCAAACACAUGAAAUUGCCAUCAAGUUAAGUGCACAUGGAUCACGAUAAUUCUCAAAAGAGGCCAUAUGUUACAAUCUACCAGUUCUAAUUGAUGCGGUA